This 492-nucleotide ribosomal RNA is filed under the name uncultured bacterium. RNAcentral's name for it is "partial 16S ribosomal RNA". It matches the Rfam family "Bacterial small subunit ribosomal RNA", at positions 29 to 507 of the family's 1533-position model. The record is from RNAcentral.
AGUGAACGCUGGCGGUAGGCCUAACACAUGCAAGUCGAACGGCAGCACAGUAAGAGCCUGCUCUUACGGGUGGCGAGUGGCGGACGGGUGAGGAAUACAUCGGAAUCUACUUUUUCGUGGGGGAUAACGUAGGGAAACUUACGCUAAUACCGCAUACGACCUACGGGUGAAAGCAGGGGAUCUUCGGACCUUGCGCGUUUGAAUGAGCCGAUGUCGGAUUAGCUAGUUGGCGGGGUAAAGGCCCACCAAGGCGACGAUCCGUAGCUGGUCUGAGAGGAUGAUCAGCCACACUGGAACUGAGACACGGUCCAGACUCCUACGGGAGGCAGCAGUGGGGAAUAUUGGACAAAGGGCGCAAGCCUGAUCCAGCCAUACCGCGUGGGUGAAGAAGGCCUUCGGGUUGUAAAGCCCUUUUGUUGGGAAAGAAAAGCAGCAGGUUAAUACCCCGCUGUUCUGACGGUACCCAAAGAAUAAGCACCGGCUAACUUCGUG